Clupea harengus (Atlantic herring) is the source of this 1684-nucleotide long non-coding RNA. NCBI's taxonomy places the organism in Eukaryota, Metazoa, Chordata, Actinopteri, Clupeiformes, Clupeidae. The record is from Ensembl.
GUCUCAGGGUCACAUAUGAUCUGAAACUACGUUAGCCAGCAAUGCUAACUUUUUGCCCUUUUUAAACUUAAUUCUGUAAUACACCACAACACCAUGGGCCCCUGGUUUGAUACACACUAAUACAUAAGGAUUUGAUACGUAAUAAUGGGUCAAUGUUGCUGCCUUGCUCCCAUGUACUGCCCGGCCUCGGCUGCAUUCCGAGCGUACUCUUUAGACCAGGAAAACUAUUUACUUUGGCACGUGCCUAGAAGACUGCUGGAAGUCACAAGAGCGUGCAACACGAAUGCAUGUGCACUACAGCCCUGGGCUAUGUCAUUUUCUGAUCCAAAUCAGCGUUGGGUAUUGAUAUUAUUCAAUCGUUACAAUCAUUUAUUGAUCAACGAUAAAGUGGUUACUGGUAAAUACAUGGGUUGCAAAGACGUGGUUAGAUUGGUGGGCUAACAGCUACAGCAAUCCUGUGGUGUAAUUUUCAAAGCGGCUUGACGACUGAGGACCGGGCUUCGAAUCAUUCAUACUUUCGUCGUUGCAAGCCUUAAUGCCCCAGGGGCGGUGUUCCAUCGCCCGUGAAACCAGCUGUUUUUUUUUUUUCCCGGCUACACUCUUUCACUUCCAAGUCGAUACACUAUGGGAUAUCUGCAAAACAACUACAAGGCUACGUAAUAUCCCAACUGCGCUCGUCAAUUGCAGUGUUACUUAACCAGUUGGUAGAAAAGUAAUGUUAUAGCCAAGAAAAGCAAAUGACCACUGUUUCUGUUGCAUAUACCAUUACACCGAAAAGCGUUCGACUUUUUGGUCAAAGUCUAUGUCGAACAGCGUCGUAGCCUACUAUGCAUUUCCUUUCUGUAAACAAAGUAAAAAUAGACAGCAAUCGCAGGGAUCCCGGCAGCCCAUUAUAUAACCGGCAGAGCGGAGCAGAAUGACAUCACGGGUAGGCUAGUCGAGCAAUCACUCGCUGCACAGGGCAGACACUGUGUCCUUUACUCUCGAGCUCAAUGAAAAGCGUCUGCCUGUGAUCGUGUUCUGAGCGUAUUGUAACCUUUACAAUGUAUUCUGCCCACAUGAAUGGGAGUUCAAAGAGCCGCACAAGCUAUAUUCGGCACUGAGCUUACGUGUCAUCACCACCAAUAGCGAAUAACACUCUUGGUUUCCAUGGUUGUCAAACAUAUAUAUAAUGAGAAAAAUAUAUACUUCCGCAAUUGCAAUUUUCUUGUUACGGCUGCAAUGUUUCCCCGCUGAGAACAAAAUGUUGACUAAGCGAAAGUCGCCACGGCCACGUAAGAGGAACUAAGAGCUUUAAAAAGUGCGAUAGCGUAGUGGAGUACUACGAGAAGCGCGAUUACGAGGAAGUAGCCCUUUGCAAUGUAAUCAGACGCGGUGUAGUGGCGCAGUUAAGUAGCGCUCCUGCCCCGAACAAGCCCAACGAGAGCGCUUCUCGCUCGGUUCCUGUUCCCCGUCACCCAGCGCUCUGCCGCCUCGCACUUUACAUGCAGUUGCAAGGCAUAGUUUGAAGUGACAAGUAUGUCAACGUGAACGCCAAACACCGAUUAACAUGAUACUGCAAAUACUAAACUUAAAAAGACACAAAGCACAAACUUAACAUGUUACAAAAGCCUUUUUUUUUAUGGAGGACCGUCUCAGAUCCGUCGCGUCCAAUGGUACUUCCAGCCAUUUUCUCGAUGCGAGU